RNAcentral lists this long non-coding RNA (330 nucleotides) under Eucalyptus grandis. RNAcentral describes it as "long non-coding RNA (EGRA_LNC005905)". The record is from RNAcentral. Lineage: Eukaryota; Viridiplantae; Streptophyta; Magnoliopsida; Myrtales; Myrtaceae.
AACCAGCAAUAGUCCAAUUACCUUCGAUUGUUCAUAUGAUGGCAAAUGCGCACACACCGCCCGAUCAACGCACCAUCCUCCGGACUUCGUCGAACCGGACGAAGUUGAGGAACUCAUCAUAGAUCCACCCGAACUUGUCCAUGAAUGAGGUGUCGGCGCUGACCCUCGGGUAAUUCUUGAGGCUGUCCUCCCACACGUUCGGUCUUUCAAGGUCCCUCAUCACCUCCCACACGCACGUGUUGCUUUUGAACCCGGCCCCGAGGCUUAUCAUCAGCACCUUGUCCCCUCUCUUCAGCCGCUUCUUCGCCUCCAUAUAAGCCAGCACGUACC